RNAcentral lists this small nuclear RNA (44 nucleotides) under Ursus thibetanus thibetanus. Its description in RNAcentral is "U7 small nuclear RNA (ENSUTTG00000013172.1)". It matches the Rfam family "U7 small nuclear RNA", at positions 1 to 44 of the family's 62-position model. From Rfam's summary of the family: Animal histone pre-mRNAs are spliced by a different mechanism than nuclear pre-mRNAs and self-splicing introns. This processing involves the U7 snRNP, which contains only one RNA species: U7. Lineage: Eukaryota; Metazoa; Chordata; Mammalia; Carnivora; Ursidae. The record is from RNAcentral.
GAGUGUUACAGCUCUUUUAGAAUUUGUCUAGCAGGUUUUCCGGU